This 157-nucleotide ribosomal RNA is filed under the name Oldenlandia tenelliflora. RNAcentral's name for it is "5.8S ribosomal RNA". It matches the Rfam family "5.8S ribosomal RNA". Rfam says of the family: 5.8S ribosomal RNA (5.8S rRNA) is a component of the large subunit of the eukaryotic ribosome. It is transcribed by RNA polymerase I as part of the 45S precursor that also contains 18S and 28S rRNA. Lineage: Eukaryota; Viridiplantae; Streptophyta; Magnoliopsida; Gentianales; Rubiaceae. The record is from RNAcentral.
UACGACUCUCGGCAACGGAUAUCUAGGCUCUCGCAUCGAUGAAGAACGUAUCGAAAUGCGAUACUUGGUGUGAAUUGCACAAUCCCGUGAACCAUCGAGUUUUUGAACGCGAGUUGCGCCCGAAGCCAUUACGCUGAGGGCACGUCUGCCUGGGCGU